Molecule: ribosomal RNA, 495 nt
Filed under: uncultured bacterium
Lineage: Bacteria
Description: partial 16S ribosomal RNA
Rfam family: Bacterial small subunit ribosomal RNA
Source: RNAcentral
GACGAACGCUGGCGGCGUGCCUAAUACAUGCAAGUAGAACGCUGAAGGAGGAGCUUGCUUCUCUGGAUGAGUUGCGAACGGGUGAGUAACGCGUAGGUAACCUGCCUGGUAGCGGGGGAUAACUAUUGGAAACGAUAGCUAAUACCGCAUAAUAGUAGAUGUUGCAUGACAUUUGCUUAAAAGGUGCAAUUGCAUCACUACCAGAUGGACCUGCGUUGUAUUAGCUAGUUGGUGGGGUAACGGCUCACCAAGGCGACGAUACAUAGCCGACCUGAGAGGGGGAGCGGCCACACUGGGACUGAGACACGGCCCAGACUCCUACGGGAGGCAGCAGUAGGGAAUCUUCGGCAAUGGACGGAAGUCUGACCGAGCAACGCCGCGGGAGGGAAGAAGGUUGUCGGAUCGUAAAGCUCUGUUGUAAGAGAAGAACGAGUGUGAGAGUGGAAAGUUCACACUGUGACGGUAUCUUACCAGAAAGGGACGGCUAACUACGUG